CAUCACCUAAUGCACACACACAUAUUCAAAAAGAACACAGUUCAGUUUUUAUUACACACAGCCUCUAUUCAGUGCUACAAUCAAAGUGACUAUUCACUGGAGAACUGCUUUUCAACCUCACACUUCAAUGGUGUAAAAACCUCUACUGCAAUAGGGGCUCUACUGCAUUUAAUUUUAAUUUUUUAUUUUUUUACAGUCCAAGUAUAAAGUUGUUUAAGGCUUCUUGUGCCAAAAGUGGUCAUAAUUUAGUUUUACCCAAACCAUUUUCUCACUUCCAUUUCAAUUAAAGGAAAUGGAGAAAGCAAUAUUAAUGGAUAGAUGACUGGUAUUUUAGCCAGGUGAAGAAAAAAGUCUUAAUAAUGGAUUUGUUUAUUAUAAACAUGCAGUUUUUUGCUUUACAAGAUAGUAAUUGAUGGAGUGGAUUGGUGUGGAUUAUUGUGAUGUUUUUAUUAGCUCUUCAUUCUGACGGCACCCAUUCACUACAGAGGAUCCUCUGUUGAGGAAGUGAUAUAAUGCUACAUUACAUUAGAAAGACUGUUCCAACGAAGAACCAGACUCAUCUACAUUUUGAAUGGCCUGAGGGUAGUUGAACUCCAUGGCCAUCUCCCUGAAGAAGAAGUAGAUAUGAGGCCCCCAUUCCACGGCGCUCACAAAAUAAGGCUCUAUGCGGAUGUCAUUCUUAUUGGAUUCCCACGUCCUUUUCUGUGACACAACAAGGGAGUAAGGUAAAAUCAUUACCUACAUUCAAGGACGGUCUGAAUAUACAGCGGCUCCUGACGGGUGUAAGAGCGAUGCGCCCGGCCCACAAACACUGGAUAGCGCCUCACCACUGACAAACACAGAACCAGAGAGAAUUCAGAAGAGAGGAAAGUCAAAAUUGGGAAAAAUGACUAGCUGCGAUGGGAACUCCCAAACAAAAGAGCCAAAAUAUGAAAUAUGGAUAGAUGAAACAGACACUAUAACACAGGCAGGAAUGUGUCCAUCACUUUCCCAAAAGAGUUAAAG
Carassius carassius (crucian carp) is the source of this 1005-nucleotide long non-coding RNA. RefSeq lists it as uncharacterized. Lineage: Eukaryota; Metazoa; Chordata; Actinopteri; Cypriniformes; Cyprinidae. The transcript is spliced from 4 exons. The record is from RefSeq and is a predicted model, not a curated record.